RNAcentral lists this ribosomal RNA (400 nucleotides) under uncultured bacterium. RNAcentral's name for it is "bacterial SSU rRNA". It matches the Rfam family "Bacterial small subunit ribosomal RNA", at positions 355 to 771 of the family's 1533-position model. The record is from RNAcentral.
UUGGGAAUCUUGCACAAUGGGGGAAACCCUGAUGCAGCGACGCCGCGUGGAGGACGAAGGGUCUAGGCUCGUAAACUCCUUUUCUCAGGAAAGACUUAGGACGGUACCUGAGGAAUAAGCACCGGCUAACUACGUGCCAGCAGCCGCGGUGAGACGUAGGGUGCAAGCGUUGUCCGGAUUUACUGGGCGUAAAGCGCGCGUAGGCGGUCUGUUAAGUGUAGAGUGAAAGCUCCGGGCUCAACCCGGAAAUUGCUCUGCAUACUGGCAGACUUGAGGGAUGCAGAGGUUUGUGGAAUUCCUGGUGUAACGGUGAAAUGUGUUGAUAUCAGGAGGAACACCCAUGGCGAAGGCAGCAAACUGGGCAUCAUCUGACGCUGAGGCGCGAAAGCGUGGGUAGCAA